AUCAUUGAGNGGUCAAGUCCNCAUGGCCCUUACGGGCUGGGCUACACACGUGCUACANUGGUGGUGACAGUGGGCAGCAGAGCACGCGAGUGUGAGCUAAUCUCCAAAAGCCAUCUCAGUUCGGAUUGCACUCUGCAACUCGAGUGCAUGAAGUUGGAAUCGCUAGUAAUCGCGGAUCAGCAUGCCGCGGUGAAUACGUUCCCGGGCCUUGUACACACCGCCCGUCACACCAUGGGAGUUGGUUUUACCCGAAGGCGCUGUGCUAACCGCAAGGAGGCAGGCGACCACGGUAGGGUCAGCGACUGGGGUGAAGUCGUAACAAGGUAGCCGUAGGGGAACCUGCGGUUGGA
RNAcentral lists this ribosomal RNA (350 nucleotides) under Ochrobactrum sp. BL200-8. RNAcentral's name for it is "bacterial SSU rRNA". It matches the Rfam family "Bacterial small subunit ribosomal RNA", at positions 1173 to 1522 of the family's 1533-position model. Lineage: Bacteria; Pseudomonadati; Pseudomonadota; Alphaproteobacteria; Hyphomicrobiales; Brucellaceae. The record is from RNAcentral.